GCAUCUCUUUUAAUUUAUUUAUUUCCCGCACUCGCUUUACUUUAUUUAUUUUCCACACUCGCUUUAUUUUAUUUAUUUUUCGCACUCGCUUUAUUUUAUUUGUUUUCCGCACAUUACUCGCUCUCUAUCCCUCACAUUCUAAAACAAACUUUUCAUAAUGAUUAACCCCGUUAUGUUUGUUUGUGUUACCAUGUAUGGCUAAAUCUUUUAAAGGUUAGAAUGUAAGGAUCAUGGUUAAAGUAAUGUUUCAC
Molecule: long non-coding RNA, 251 nt
Filed under: Lathyrus oleraceus (garden pea)
Lineage: Eukaryota; Viridiplantae; Streptophyta; Magnoliopsida; Fabales; Fabaceae
Description: Pisum sativum (pea) long non-coding RNA (PSAT_LNC006228)
Source: RNAcentral